AAAAUACAACCUCAUGAUUUAUUUCUUAUUAUGUGCUGAAACAGGUUAAACAACCCCUACGGGGCCUGCCUAACCAAUUCUGUGUAACCAAUCCUUAUAUCUCCAAUGUGAAUACAUCUUUCUCACAGAUGGAUAACAGGCUGGAAGUACAACCUUUACAGAAGCUUACAGAUUUUUUACACGUUCUUUGGAGACUGACUUGUGCUUGCUCCUCCUAGUCUCAAAGUAUGCUUGAUGAUUGUGCAAGGGGAAUGCCAAAGUGAAAUGAAGCUGCUAUACUUCGUUAUCCAGCAUUUAAAAGGAGAAAGAAAGGAAUCCUUUAGGAACAAGUCAAGGGUACUCACAUAACUGAGUAUUAUUAACAUAGGGCUUGUUUUGAGUGAGAUUACAUUUUAUUUAAUAUUAAUGCUAUUACCUCUAAUAAUAAUAAAUGUUAGGAGAUAUUAUUUGUGGAGACAGUCAAUGACAGUGGAUAGAUAAGCUGAGAAACUCAGUUAUUUUUUAAAGCAGAUAAACAACAGUUGUGCAACACAAUAUAAAAAAAACAAAUGUAUUUAUUCCGUUGAUUUGGCUACAAUAACUUGAACUACUCCUUGCUAGUUAUGAAGAUUAGUUAAUGUACUUAUUUGUAUUACAUGUUCAAACAAAAAAUGUGUGUAAAAAUAUUUUAAAG
RNAcentral lists this long non-coding RNA (673 nucleotides) under Gallus gallus (chicken). RNAcentral describes it as "lncRNA (ENSGALG00010017348.1)". Lineage: Eukaryota; Metazoa; Chordata; Aves; Galliformes; Phasianidae. The record is from RNAcentral.